CUUUUCCUACGGGGCGCAGCAGUAGGGAAUAUUGCUCAAUGGGGGAAACCCUGAAGCAGCAACGCCGCGUGGAGGAUGAAGGUUUUCGGAUUGUAAACUCCUUUUGUUAGAGAAGAUAAUGACGGUAUUUAACGAAUAAGCACCGGCUAACUCCGUGCCAGCAGCCGCGGUAAUACGGAGGGUGCAAGCGUUACUCGGAAUCACUGGGCGUAAAGAGCGCGUAGGCGGGAUAGCAAGUCAGAUGUGAAAUCCUAUGGCUUAACCAUAGAACUGCAUUUGUAACUGUUAUUCUAGAGUCUGGGAGG
Molecule: ribosomal RNA, 305 nt
Filed under: uncultured bacterium
Lineage: Bacteria
Description: bacterial SSU rRNA
Rfam family: Bacterial small subunit ribosomal RNA
Source: RNAcentral